UACGUAGGGUGCGAGCGUUGUCCGGAAUUAUUGGGCGUAAAGAGCUCGUAGGCGGUGUGUCACGUCGGCCGUGAAAACCUGGGGCUUAACUCUGGGCGUGCGGUCGAUACGGGCAUCACUAGAGUUCGGCAGGGGAGACUGGAAUUCCUGGUGUAGCGGUGAAAUGCGUAGAUAUCGGGAAGAACACCAAAGGCGAAAGCACUCUGCUGGGCCGAAACUGACACUGAUAGACGAAAGCUAGGGGAGCAAAUGGG
This 254-nucleotide ribosomal RNA is filed under the name uncultured bacterium. RNAcentral's name for it is "partial 16S ribosomal RNA". It matches the Rfam family "Bacterial small subunit ribosomal RNA", at positions 524 to 776 of the family's 1533-position model. The record is from RNAcentral.